UACGUAGGGGGCAAGCGUUGUCCGGAUUUAUUGGGCGUAAAGCGCGUGUAGGCGGCUGGGUAGGUCCGCUGUGAAAACUUGAGGCUCAACCUCAAGAGGUCGGUGGAAACUUUCUGGCUAGAGUCCGGAAGAGGAGAAUGGAAUUCCUGGUGUAGCGGUGAAAUGCGCAGAUAUCAGGAAGAACACCCGUGGCGAAGGCGGUUCUCUGGGACGGUACUGACGCUGAGACGCGAAAGCGUGGGGAGCGAACAGG
RNAcentral lists this ribosomal RNA (253 nucleotides) under uncultured bacterium. RNAcentral's name for it is "partial 16S ribosomal RNA". It matches the Rfam family "Bacterial small subunit ribosomal RNA", at positions 524 to 776 of the family's 1533-position model. The record is from RNAcentral.